This 484-nucleotide ribosomal RNA is filed under the name uncultured bacterium. Its description in RNAcentral is "partial 16S ribosomal RNA". It matches the Rfam family "Bacterial small subunit ribosomal RNA", at positions 30 to 507 of the family's 1533-position model. The record is from RNAcentral.
AUUGAACGCUGGCGGCAUGCCUUACACAUGCAAGUCGAACGGCAGCGCAGACUUCGGUCUGGCGGCGAGUGGCGAACGGGUGAGUAAUACAUCGGAACGUACCCUGUUGUGGGGGAUAACUAGUCGAAAGAUUAGCUAAUACCGCAUACGACCUGAGGGUGAAAGUGGGGGACCGCAAGGCCUCACGCAGCAGGAGCGGCCGAUGUCUGAUUAGCUAGUUGGUGGGGUAAAGGCCCACCAAGGCGACGAUCAGUAGCUGGUCUGAGAGGACGAUCAGCCACACUGGGACUGAGACACGGCCCAGACUCCUACGGGAGGCAGCAGUGGGGAAUUUUGGACAAUGGGGGCAACCCUGAUCCAGCAAUGCCGCGUGUGUGAAGAAGGCCUUCGGGUUGUAAAGCACUUUUGUCCGGAAAGAAAUCGCGCUGGUUAAUACCUGGCGUGGAUGACGGUACCGGAAGAAUAAGCACCGGCUAACUACGUG